AUAUCUCUCCGUACGGGAAGGAUGAGAAGCUUCGACUAAGGUUCGAUUCGAGCGAAAGCGAGAAAGCGUUGCCAACGGCAACGACCCGAAGGGCGAAGCGCGCAGCGCUGAGUCAACCUUCCCCCACCACCA
RNAcentral lists this small RNA (132 nucleotides) under Salmonella enterica subsp. enterica serovar Montevideo. RNAcentral describes it as "RtT sRNA". It matches the Rfam family "RtT RNA". From Rfam's summary of the family: This family represents a bacterial cis-regulatory element known as RtT RNA. The exact function of RtT is unknown although it is thought that it may be involved in changing the cellular response in relation to amino acid starvation. The record is from RNAcentral. RNAcentral also lists the same sequence under 2 other names. Lineage: Bacteria; Pseudomonadati; Pseudomonadota; Gammaproteobacteria; Enterobacterales; Enterobacteriaceae.